CUGUAGUUAAACGCUGUACAAAAACCUCAUCUCUCAGAAAGUGUGUUAUUUAUGUUAAACUAAAAAUGAAGAAUCUGCACAAACAUCACUGCAGUGUGUUCCUGUGUGUUGCACAUCACACAGGCAAAUUACACUGUGAAUAUCUUCAUUAUCACAUAAAUGAACAAGAUCUGGAAUACAAUUGUAAUGGAUACCUGCACUGAUACUCAACAAGACACAGUGCGAUAAUUAUGACUGUGUUAGUUAUUAUAUCCAUACCAAUUUAAUCAUAGAUAUAAAAUAUGAUGCGUCAUAUUGGAUUUUACACUGUUGAGGAGUUUGACAGAGUUUGGAGUUCUACAGGUGGUUCAAAAUGCACAUUUGAAGCAAUCCUGAGAAAGGACAGGUUUUUGUGCAGUCAGUUCCAUGAAAUAUAGCACUGUGAUAGGUUUGACUACUGGAGUAAAGGCACCCAAGUCACCAUUGCCACACCAACUGCACCAACCUUCCUCUUGCCUUUAAUGGCAUGCGGGCCUAAAGGAUCCGAUCACCUGACCCUGGCCUGCAUCGCCCGUGAUUUUUCGCCUGCUUCUUCUGUGACCUUCCAGUGGAAGAACAGUGGAAUGGCCGUGACUGAGUUCACUCAGUACCCAGCAGUGCAGAGCAGUAGGCCAGAUUCCUACACAAGCGUCAGUCAUGUCAGUGUAAAAGCGGCAGAGCGGGAGUCCUACAGUUGCUCCGUGAAUCAUUUGUCACUGAAUAAGAACAUGGAAGUGAGUUUCCAGAAAGCAGAACAGUCCUCAGAAAAACCCUGUCUGGAGGUGACCCUGAAGCCCCCAAAGAUGAGCGAAUUGUUUGUAAAUAACCGGGCUGUGCUGGACUGCGUCAUCACUGGGGGAGAGAAGGCAGCAGUGGAGGGAGCCAGCGUUACCUGGACACCGAGUGGAACAGGCACCUCGAUCAAUGAGGGUCAGAUCACAAAGGACGGACAUGUGUUCAGGAAGACCAGCACUCUGACUCUGGGACAGGCACGCUGGUUCACCGAGCAAAAUGUUCAGUGCUCUGUCCAACAGCAGAACAGCAAAAAGCCGGCCAUCAAAAAAUCUUUCAGCCGGAACAACAGUGGGUUAAAAGCUCCCAAAGUGGUUAUAAACACACCCUCAGAAGAGGAUGGCAGCAAGUUUGUUUCCCUGGUCUGUGUAGUGACGGGCUUCUCUCCCCGGGACGUGUUCGUCAUGUGGACAGUGGAUGAUGGAUCCUAUGAAGAGGGCAUCACCAGUGAGCCUGUGGAGAGCAAAACUGGCACCUUCUCUGUCACAAGUCUUUUAGAAGUCCCGACAGCGAAGUGGAAGUCCCGGUCCAAAGUCACCUGCAAUGUGAAGCAUGUUUCUGUGUCCAAUGGAGCAGUCGCUACCACAAAAUCUGUGUCCAGAGCAACUGACCCACCCUGUCUGGAGGUGACCCUGAAUCCCCCAAAGGCGAGAGAAUUGUUUGUUAAUAACCAGGCUGUGCUGGACUGCGUUAUCACUGGGGAAGAGAGGGCAGCAGUGGAGGGAGCCAGCGUUACCUGGACACCGAGUGGAACUGGCACCUCGAGCAAAGAGAGUCAGAUCACUCCGCACGGACAUGUGUUCAGGAAGACCAGCACUCUGACUCUGGGACAGGAACGCUGGUUCACCGAGCAAAAUGUUCAGUGCUCUGUCCAACAGCAGAACAGCGAUAAGCCGGCCAUCACAAAAUCUUUCAGCCGGAACACCAGCGGGUUAAAAGCUCCCAAGGUGGUUAUAAACACACCCUCAGAAGAGGACGGCAGUGAGUUUGUCUCUCUGGUCUGUGUAGUGACGGGCUUCUCUCCCCGGGAUGUGUUCGUCAUGUGGAGAGUGGAUGAUGGAUCCUAUGAAGAGGGCAUCACCAGUGAGCCUGUGGAGAGCAAAAACGACGGCUUCUCUGUCACAAGUUUUUUCAAUGUCUCGACAGCGGAGUGGAAGUCCCAGUCCAAAGUCGCCUGCAAUGUGAAGCACGUUUCUGUGGACAAUGGAGCAGCCCCUAUCAUAAAAUCUGUGUCCAGAGCAACUGAAACAGUAUCAGCUCUGAAUUGUAAUGAGGAAGAUGAGGAAGAAGAUGAGCUUGGCAGUCUGUGGUCCACCACCUCCUCCUUCAUCACCCUCUUCCUAUGCACUCUCAUCUACAGCACCCUCCUCAGUUUGAUCAAGAUGAAGCAGUGAUGUACUGUACAGUGCAACACAUGGAAGAUGGGGUGAAAGCUUAUUUUUUGAAUGUAUUGAUAGUUCCAUGUCAAGAGUGUGUGGUAUAGAAGAUUGUGUCAUGUUUUCUUGAGUUGAAUCUCUCUGUUUUUUCCAUUACUCCACUGUGCCUAUGUUUAGAUUUCUUUCAUUACGUAAUGAGUGAAAUGUCUGUAUAAAUCUUGUUUAUACCAGUGUUUUCUAUGGACAUCAGACCACAUUGCAGUACAUAAUUGGCUGCAGUUUAGUCCUAGGAGGAAAGGUUUUAGUUGGCAGUCCUGUACUCAACCCACUAAGCAAAAAAGAAGCACAGCUCUGGUGGAUCCCGCCUGCAAAUUUCUCCGCUACACCCAUGACUGGAACUCCAGCGCUGCUACUGUUGGAGCCGGCCUGUGUCAGCUGCACAUGAAGUGCACUCUUCUGUCCCACUGAGAGCUGAGCUGCUCUGGGGCCACAGAGUGAAAGAGGAGAGCUGCUCUGGGGCCACAGAGUGAAAGAGCUCAGCAGAGCCGC
Molecule: non-coding RNA, 2735 nt
Organism: Anguilla anguilla (European eel)
Lineage: Eukaryota; Metazoa; Chordata; Actinopteri; Anguilliformes; Anguillidae
Source: the annotation of a RefSeq genome assembly